AACGCGAAGAACCUUACCAGUCCUUGACAUGUGGAGUAUGGAUUAUCGAGAGAUAGUCCUUCGGUUCGGCCGGCUCCAACACAGGUGCUGCAUGGCUGUCGUCAGCUCGUGUCGUGAGAUGUUGGGUUAAGUCCCGCAACGAGCGCAACCCUCAUCUUCAGUUGCCCCCGGGUCAGGCCGGGCACUCUGAAGAAACCGCCGGUGACAAGCCGGAGGAAGGCGGGGAUGACGUCAAGUCCUCAUGGCCCUUACGGACUGGGCUACACACGUACUACAAUGGUGGUGACAGUGGGCUGCGAAGGCGCAAGCCGGAGCCAAUCCCCAAAAACCAUCUCAGUUCAGAUUGCACUCUGCAACUCGAGUGCAUGAAGUUGGAAUCGCUAGUAAUCGCAGAUCAGCACGCUGCGGUGAAUACGUUCCCGGGCCUUGUACACACCGGCUAC
Molecule: ribosomal RNA, 443 nt
Filed under: uncultured bacterium
Lineage: Bacteria
Description: bacterial SSU rRNA
Rfam family: Bacterial small subunit ribosomal RNA
Source: RNAcentral